AAUUAGAAAACUGCCACCCAGGAAACCAGGGAAGGGACUGCUUUAGGAGGUGACUGCUCAGAACCUAUCUGCCUUGAUUGAUAAGAAAUCCUUCUUACUUUAUAUUAUAAGAGAUCUUUUUGCCGCCCAUUAUUUAGGAUUAAAAAUCACCUCCCCAGGAGGGUCUCUUAUAAAAACGAAAGUAGGCAAAGGAACAAAGGAC
This 202-nucleotide long non-coding RNA is filed under the name Prunus persica (peach). RNAcentral describes it as "long non-coding RNA (PPER_LNC000736)". The record is from RNAcentral. Lineage: Eukaryota; Viridiplantae; Streptophyta; Magnoliopsida; Rosales; Rosaceae.